Molecule: ribosomal RNA, 469 nt
Filed under: uncultured bacterium
Lineage: Bacteria
Description: bacterial SSU rRNA
Rfam family: Bacterial small subunit ribosomal RNA
Source: RNAcentral
AAGUUUGAUCCUGGCUCAGAACGAACGCUGGCGGCAUGCUUAACACAUGCAAGUCGAACGAGAUCUUCGGAUCUAGUGGCGCACGGGUGAGUAACGCGUGGAAAUCUGCCAUUCUGUACGGAAUAACGUUUGGAAACGAACGCUAAUACCGUAUACGCCCUACGGGGGAAAGGUCCGCCGCAGAAUGAGGAGUCCGCGUCCGAUUAGCUAGUUGGUAGGGUAAUGGCCUACCAAGGCGACGAUCGGUAGCUGGUCUGAGAGGAUGAUCAGCCACACUGGGACUGAGACACGGCCUAGACUCCUACGGGAGGCAGCAGUGGGGAAUAUUGGACAAUGGGGGCAACCCUGAUCCAGCAAUGCCGCGUGUGUGAUGAAGGCCCUAGGGUUGUAAAGCACUUUCAUGGUGAAGAUGAUGACGGUAACCAUAGAAGAAGCCCCGGCUAACUUCGUGCCAGCAGCCGCGGUAAUA